This 360-nucleotide ribosomal RNA is filed under the name uncultured bacterium. RNAcentral describes it as "bacterial SSU rRNA". It matches the Rfam family "Bacterial small subunit ribosomal RNA", at positions 78 to 441 of the family's 1533-position model. The record is from RNAcentral.
AGCAAUCCUGGUGGCGAGUGGCGAACGGGUGAGUAAUACAUCGGAACGUGCCCAGUUGUGGGGGAUAGCCCGGCGAAAGCCGGAUUAAUACCGCAUACGACCUACGGGUGAAAGCGGGGGAUCGCAAGACCUCGCGCAAUUGGAGCGGCCGAUGGCAGAUUAGCUUGUUGGUGGGGUAAAAGCCUACCAAGGCGACGAUCUGUAGCUGGUCUGAGAGGACGACCAGCCACACUGGGACUGAGACACGGCCCAGACUCCUACGGGAGGCAGCAGUGGGGAAUUUUGGACAAUGGGCGCAAGCCUGAUCCAGCCAUGCCGCGUGUGGGAAGAAGGCCUUCGGGUUGUAAACCACUUUUGUCA